GGGGCCGUAGCUCAUUUGGGAGAGCGCUUGCAUGGCAUGCAAGAGGUAGAGGGUUCGAUCCCCUUCGGCUCCA
Molecule: transfer RNA, 73 nt
Filed under: Planctomycetota bacterium
Lineage: Bacteria; Pseudomonadati; Planctomycetota
Description: tRNA-Ala
Rfam family: tRNA
About the family: Transfer RNA (tRNA) molecules are approximately 80 nucleotides in length. Their secondary structure includes four short double-helical elements and three loops (D, anti-codon, and T loops).
Source: RNAcentral